CGUAGGGACCGAGCGUUGUCCGGAUUCAUUGGGCGUAAAGAGCUCGUAGGCGGCUGCUCAAGUCGAAUGUGAAACCUCGAGGCUUAACCUCGAGCCUGCAUUCGAUACUGGGCGGCUAGAGUCUGGUAGGGGGAUCUGGAAUUCCUGGUGUAGCGGUGGAAUGCGCAGAUAUCAGGAGGAACACCGGUGGCGAAGGCGGGAUCCUGGGCCAGUACUGACGCUGAGGAGCGAAAGCGUGGGGAGCAAACAGGAUUAGAUACCCUGGUAGUCCACGCCGUAAACGAUGGGCGCUAGGUGUGGGAGGUCAUUGACUCCUUCCGUGCCGCAGCUAACGCAUUAAGCGCCCCGCCUGGGGAGUACGGCCGCAAGGCUA
Molecule: ribosomal RNA, 373 nt
Filed under: uncultured organism
Description: bacterial SSU rRNA
Rfam family: Bacterial small subunit ribosomal RNA
Source: RNAcentral